RNAcentral lists this ribosomal RNA (950 nucleotides) under Pseudoophiobolus mathieui. RNAcentral describes it as "SSU rRNA". It matches the Rfam family "Eukaryotic small subunit ribosomal RNA", at positions 89 to 1049 of the family's 1831-position model. Lineage: Eukaryota; Fungi; Ascomycota; Dothideomycetes; Pleosporales; Phaeosphaeriaceae. The record is from RNAcentral.
GCGAAUGGCUCAUUAAAUCAGUUAUCGUUUAUUUGAUAGUACCUUACUACUUGGAUAACCGUGGUAAUUCUAGAGCUAAUACAUGCUGAAAACCCCAACUUCGGAAGGGGUGUAUUUAUUAGAUAAAAAACCAACGCCCUUCGGGGCUUCUUGGUGAUUCAUGAUAACUUAACGGAUCGCAUGGCCUUGCGCCGGCGACGGUUCAUUCAAAUUUCUGCCCUAUCAACUUUCGAUGGUAAGGUAUUGGCUUACCAUGGUUUCAACGGGUAACGGGGAAUUAGGGUUCGAUUCCGGAGAGCGAGCCUGAGAAACGGCUAGCACAUCCAAGGAAGGCAGCAGGCGCGCAAAUUACCCAAUCCCGACACGGGGAGGUAGUGACAAUAAAUACUGAUACAGGGCUCUUUUGGGUCUUGUAAUUGGAAUGAGUACAAUUUAAACCUCUUAACGAGGAACAAUUGGAGGGCAAGUCUGGUGCCAGCAGCCGCGGUAAUUCCAGCUCCAAUAGCGUAUAUUAAAGUUGUUGCAGUUAAAAAGCUCGUAGUUGAACCUUGGGUCUGGCUGGCAGGUCCGCCUCACCGCGUGUACUUGUCCGGCCGGGCCUUCCUUCUGGAGAACCUCAUGUCCUUUAUUGGGCGUGUUGGGGACCAGGACUUUUACUUUGAAAAAAUUAGAGUGUUCAAAGCAGGCCUUUGCUCGAAUACGUUAGCAUGGAAUAAUAGAAUAGGACGUGCGAUCCUAUUUUGUUGGUUUCUAGGACCGCCGUAAUGAUUAAUAGGGACAGUCGGGGGCAUCAGUAUUCAAUUGUCAGAGGUGAAAUUCUUGGAUUUAUUGAAGACUAACUACUGCGAAAGCAUUUGCCAAGGAUGUUUUCAUUAAUCAGUGAACGAAAGUUAGGGGAUCGAAGACGAUCAGAUACCGUCGUAGUCUUAACCGUAAACUAUGCCGACUAG